CGUUGUCCGGACUAUUGCGUAAAGCGAGCGCAGCGUAGAAAAGUCUGAAGUGAAAGGCAGUGGCUCAAACAUUGUAGGCUUUGGAAACUGUUUAACUUGAGUGCAGAAGGGGAGAGUGGAAUUCCAUGUGUAGCGGUGAAAUGCGUAGAUAUAUGGAGGAACACCGGUGGCGAAAGCGGCUCUCUGGUCUGUAACUGACGCUGAGGCUCGAAAGCGUGGGGAGCGAACAGGAUUAGAUACCCUGGUAGUCCACGCCGUAAACGAUGAGUGCUAGGUGUUAGGUCCUUUCCGGGACUUAGUGCCGCAGCUAACGCAUUAAGCACUCCGCCUGGGGAGUACGACCGCAAGGUUGAAACUCAAAGGAAUUGACGGGGGCCCGCACAAGCGGUGGAGCAUGUGGUUUAAUUCGAAGCAACGCGAAGAACCUUACCAGGUCUUGACAUCCCGAUGCUAUUUCUAGAGAUAGGAAGUUUCUUCGGAACAUCGGUGACAGGUGGUGCAUGGUUGUCGUCAGCUCGUGUCGUGAGAUGUUGGGUUAAGUCCCGCAACGAGCGCAACCCUUAUUGUUAGUUGCCAUCAUUGAGUUGGGCACUCUAGCGAGACUGCCGGUAAUAAACCGGAGGAAGGUGGGGAUGACGUCAAAUCAUCAUGCCCCUUAUGACCUGGGCUACACACGUGCUACAAUGGCUGGUACAACGAGUCGCAAGCCGGUGACGGCAAGCUAAUCUCUGAAAGCCAGUCUCAGUUCGGAUUGUAGGCUGCAACUCGCCUACAUGAAGUCGGAAUCGCUAGUAAUCGCGGAUCAGCACGCCGCGGUGAAUACGUUCCCGGGCCUUGUACACACCGCCCGUCACACCACGAGAGUUUGUAACACCCGAAGUC
Molecule: ribosomal RNA, 882 nt
Filed under: Streptococcus anginosus
Lineage: Bacteria; Bacillati; Bacillota; Bacilli; Lactobacillales; Streptococcaceae
Description: bacterial SSU rRNA
Rfam family: Bacterial small subunit ribosomal RNA
Source: RNAcentral